UACGUAGGAUCCGAGCGUUAUCCGGAGUGACUGGGCGUAAAGAGUUGCGUAGGCGGUUAGUAAAGCGAAUAGUGAAAUCUGGUGGCUCAACCAUUCAGGCUAUUAUUCGAACUCACUAACUCGAGAGUGGUAGAGGUAACUGGAAUUUCUUGUGUAGGAGUGAAAUCCGUAGAUAUAAGAAGGAACACCAAUGGCGUAGGCAGGUUACUGGACCAUUUCUGACGCUAAGGCACGAAAGCGUGGGGAGCGAACCGG
This 255-nucleotide ribosomal RNA is filed under the name uncultured microorganism. RNAcentral's name for it is "partial small subunit ribosomal RNA". It matches the Rfam family "Bacterial small subunit ribosomal RNA", at positions 524 to 776 of the family's 1533-position model. The record is from RNAcentral.